RNAcentral lists this transfer RNA (96 nucleotides) under Pseudoduganella albidiflava. RNAcentral describes it as "tRNA-Gln". Lineage: Bacteria; Pseudomonadati; Pseudomonadota; Betaproteobacteria; Burkholderiales; Oxalobacteraceae. The record is from RNAcentral.
CGGUUCGGGCGGCGCGGCGGCCGCCGCCGCGGCAUUGGCCUGCGCGGGAGGGAUCACUUUCAGCGCCUUCGUGUUCAGCUGCCGGGCGAGCCGCCC